RNAcentral lists this microRNA precursor (89 nucleotides) under Chlorocebus sabaeus (green monkey). Its description in RNAcentral is "miRNA (ENSCSAG00000023176.1)". Lineage: Eukaryota; Metazoa; Chordata; Mammalia; Primates; Cercopithecidae. The record is from RNAcentral.
GUUUGUAUUAGGUUGAUGCAAAAGUAAUUGUGAUUUUUGCCAUUACUUUCAAUGGCAAAAACUGCAAUUACUUUUGCAUCAACUUAAUA